Molecule: long non-coding RNA, 1689 nt
Filed under: Homo sapiens (human)
Lineage: Eukaryota; Metazoa; Chordata; Mammalia; Primates; Hominidae
Description: HSALNT0322558
Source: RNAcentral
AAAUCUUGGAGCCACUUUAAUGUGACUUCACUAAAUUGCCUUCGUCCAGUGCCUCACAGACAGCAUCCCAGCACAUCAUGGAGAGCUAAGUGACAGAACAGGCAGCUCCUCUUCUCCCUGACAUGGGCAGUGUUUAAUCAUUCCCUUUGCAAAGGAUCCCCAAAUUGGGAGAGGCUGGAUGGAUGACUAAGUCAAGUUGGUGCAAAAUGAGUCACGUUUCUUGAAGGUCACUUCCCCAAAUGUAUGAGCCACCAAAGGGAAAGGAAAACUAUUUCUUAAGAGUAAUGAAAACGGCAUUAGAAAAAGUGGAUGAGAAUAUCAAAGCCAGCCAAUCCUCCUUUCUUCUUCCAUAUAUGGUGGUCCCCACCCCCAGAAGUCAAUACCAGAAACUCCUACACCAUUACUUCAGAAUAAAGAGGAAAGCAAAGUUCUCUAGUCUGCAAUCCUUUGACAUUCCAGACCACAGAUAAACACGAACCCUACCAAACCAGUAACACAAACAACCUGUGCCUCCGUGGAGGGCACGAAGGCAUGAUUCUCACAGGCACAAUCAUUAAGCUCCUUUACUUGAAACUACUGUUACAUCUUUCUGAACCUUCCAAUUCCAAUCUCAACCACAAACUGAAAGUUAAUAAAAAGCCCCUGAAUGAUUCAUAUAAAUCCUUUAAAUCUAAGAACAGGAGCCAACACUAAAAAAGCAAUAGCCCAUUUAAAUUUCAAUAGCUUGAAUGCCAGACAUCCCUGAUUGUCACAUUUUGUCACCCACCAAGUCACCAUUUCAUGUUCCUAGUUCACUGUGGGAUCCAGACAUAUUCCACUCUAACAAAUACAACUUGCCAGAAGUAUUUCUGAGUGUGGUUAUUUACGAUUUUCACAAACAACUUUUUCAAAUAUUCCUUCAAUAGGUUCUAAGAAUUAAGUAGCAUGAAAUCCAAAUCUAAAAUCAUUGUCUCCAUGCUUCAUUGAAGAAAAUGAACGUGAAAAAAUCCAAUAGCAGCUGCAAACCAUUUAAGAAUUCCUAGUUAAACUGCAAAAUACAUUUUCAACCAUUUAGCCAUAACAACUUCUAAACGGAGAAAGUUGCUUCUUUAUAUAAACCACCUCUGUUUACCAAACAUCAGAGAAUCUCCGGGCAGAGGGCUACUGCAGGAUGGGAAUAGUAAGAGAAUGUUACAACCCAUGAGGUGCUGAUCUGCACACACCACCGUGAGGAAAUACCUUAAGUGAUUAAAGACAAACGCCACCUGCAUGCUUGGCAAAGGAGUCCACUGCUAUCGCCACACACUCUCCCCAGUGAGAGAGGGGAAACGAUGGACUGAAGUCCCACAGUGGAUUAGAACUGGGCACAAAAGGAGCCAGGAACAGAAGAUGGCAGCAUAGGAAGGGAAUGUUAUGCUUUGCCCCAGCUGGGGACUCUGGCAGUAUUAUCACUUAGGCAUCCUGAAGCCCAAACUCAAGAAUAAAGAAUUAAAAUUUCAUAUCUUCUUUGACUUAGUAUCCAGAAAAUUUUGUUGAAUUCUGACAUAUCUCAAAUUUCUUUGCGUAUAUGUUAACAAGAUACUCCUAUUUAUAAAUUCAUAUGGCUAUUUGGCUAUUCUGUCAAAAUUAGCCUUUAGGCCAGGCAGAGUGGCUCAUGCCUGUAAUUCCAACACUUUGAGAGGCCAAGGCAGGAGGAUCGCUUAAAAUCAG